RNAcentral lists this long non-coding RNA (4927 nucleotides) under Oryza brachyantha (malo sina). RNAcentral's name for it is "long non-coding RNA (OBRA_LNC002470)". The record is from RNAcentral. Lineage: Eukaryota; Viridiplantae; Streptophyta; Magnoliopsida; Poales; Poaceae.
GGCUAGAUCCAGGCAUCAAUUUUUGUUAGGCUAGUCUCUUAGAUCAUGUUUAAUAGUAUAGCCAAAUGUUAGAUAUAAACAUAUACCUCGGCAUCUUCUAAGAUUAUAACAUAUAAUGGUUAACUAUUGAUACAAUAAACACCAGACAUAUUUUAUUAAUAUAUUUUCAACAAUAACCCCUUUUCACACAAAUCGACAUUUCUCAUGCGCUAGUGGUGGGACCUAUUUUCUUGAAGCUCGUAUGUAGCUGGUUGCUAUUUAGUAGCCCACUUAACCCGUCUUCUCACUUGUCUCCUCCACGUUGACAUCCAGGGGCUUGGGUUGCCUUGGAACCUGAACCUGCAAAUCAGCCGUUAUUUCUUGCUUGAAGCAUUCACGGUAUGCGAAAAAUAAGCUACCUUAUAAUACUUGCUCUUAGGUUGCCGACCUAAUUAUACCCUAAAAUACUCUAUAUAAUAACUUAUGCCCUUUUUUUAACCAAUUACACGCUCCUAGUCUACCACUGCUAAAGUUUUUCAUCUAGUCUCUUCCUAACCCAUGAUCGUAUUUCCUUCUUUAGUCUACUACUGUUAAAGUUUUCUGACGAAGGUAGUAAGUACAAAAAAAAUUAUAUUUUCAGGAUAAGGGAGUAAGUACAAAAACUAGUAUGUGGAAAAUAAAGUAGUAUAAAUAUUGCUAGAUGGGAAAUAAAGAAUAAAGUAUAUUAUGGGACUGAGUGUGUACUCGAUGUAAACGUUUCUGCCACAACACACGUUCAUACGAGAGAGAAGACACGCUGGAUAUCAAGAAACGUGCUAAUACUUCAUAUACACUUCAACACGUUGAUGCUAUGUUUGAGUUGAUAGCUAAGAAUUGGUAAAUAUGUUUGUUUAGUGUGUAAAACCUAAAAGUUCUUAUUUUAAAUUCAGAUGUGAAAUAUGAUUUGUUUUUCUCGAGAACUAUUUGAAUGUACUAACAAUCUUACCUCUUGUUUGAGUAGAUAACUAAGAAUUGGUAAAUAUGUUAGUUUAGUGGGUAAAAACUGAAAGUUCUAAUUUUUAACUUAGAUGCAAUAUAUGCCUUUUUUCUUUCUCGAGAACUAUGUGAAUUAAUAACAAUCUUACCUUUUGUUGAAUACAGGUGAAUAAGAUGGUAAUAUAUGCCAUUGAUCAUAUCUUGAGGGAUCUUAAGAAAGAUCUCUGCCCUCCCGACGAAACGGAUUAGAUGGUAUACCAUGUAGAGAUAUCUAAGGUCAAUAAAUAAUAACUUUGCUAGGAAUUUUGUAUUUUGUUGUUAAACCUUCCUAGAAUCUGCGAAGGGAUUUUGAAUUGUACAAUAUAUAACCUUUACUGUGAGUGGUAAUCUAGCUAAUGUGAUAAAAUGUGAUAAAAUGGUACUCCAUUCACUUCCAAAUUUUUAUUUGACGAUUUGGAUCUACGUUUGACAUCUUAUUAAAAAAAUUAUGUAAUUAUUAAUUAUUUUUUAUAAUUUGAUUUAUUACAAAAGACAUUUUAAGCAUGACUUGUAAUUUUUCAUGUUUAUAUAUAAAUUUUGAAUGAGAAGAAUGGUUAAAGUACGUCCAAAAAGUCGAUCUCAAUAAAUAAAAAUAAAAAUACAGAGCGAGAAAGAUUAUGCAUGGGAGUCAUAUUUUUGCUUGGUAGAGAAAUAUGUUAAAUGGAAUAUUUAUAAAUAAAAGUAAUUUAUAAAUAAAACUUUUAUAUACAUGUUCUUAGUCAUCUAAAAGACAGAAAAAUAAAUUACGAUAAAAAACCUUAAAAUCAUCUUAAAAUUUCUUUAGCAAUAAAUUAAAUUAUAACAAAAUAAUUAACAAUUAUAUAAUUUUUUUAAGCAAGACGAAUGGUUAAAUAUAAACACAUAUAUCUUUUAUUUAUGUUGAGGUACCAAAAUUUUACAGUAAAAAUUUAAUGCAUCUAAUACAUUCUUAAAAACCAUAAAAUUUCUCUUUUAUAAUACAUCAUUCACCAAAUACCCUUGUUUUAGUGUUUUCUGUCAUAAUUAAAUAAGACUACAUUGAUAAAUACAUAUCAUAGAAAGUGAAUAUAGGUAGUGAAAAGUGGUAUAGCCAACUCUAGCUCUAUAAAUUAGCGUACCAUCUAUUACUAAUCUAAUAGCAUACUCAGAAUAUUAUAUACUACUAAAUUAUUAGUACAUGGGCAUACCUUUCGCAACAUAGCUCGUUGGAGUACUUGUUAUAGUUGGUUAAGGCAUUUUUGAUGUAUAUUCUCUUAUGAUGUGUAAGACUAGACGUCAUAAGACAUGCCAUAAGUGACAAUUUAGAUAAACAUGUUUUCAUAUUUAGACUUAUAUAACUUAGACUAAGGUGGGUUCUACUGGGAUAAAAAUAAUCUUCUCUUUUUCAACUUUUCUCGUACUGCAACAUUAAAAUAUUUUAGCUAACAUAUUAUUUUAAUCUAAACACCAGUUGCCCAUAUGAGCUAUGGGUGCUUAUUAGAUAUAGCAUAACAUUCUUGCUCCAAUGUAUUAUACCUCUCUUAUUUAUCUCUCGUGUAUGCACCUCCAGCGCCUCCCAGAUCAUACAUCAAAGUUGUCCUUAUAAUUGGUAGCCUACUUUUUUUUUCUUUUCCCUCUUCUCUUUACUCCAUGUCACUUUAUUAUAAUAGUUCUAUAUAAAUACUCACUCUUAGCUGUGAGGCACCGUAAAUAUGUGAAUUGACUGUAGCACUCUCAAGAAAAAUGUAAUUAGCUAAUGGAUACAGUGGGUAAGUCGGUACUAUUUUAUUAACUCCAGUGUAGAUGGAGAGAAAACAGUGAGGACUAUACUAAGGCCCUGUUUAGUUUCCAAAUACUUUUUCUAAAAAAUCAUAUUGAAUCUUUGGACACCUAAAUAAAACAUUAAAUAUAUAUGAACAUUAAAACUAAUUACAUAAUUAUAGAAAAAUCGUGAAACGAAUCUUUUAAACCUAAUUAGGACAUGAUUAGUCAUAAAUGCUAUAGUAACCAACAUGUACUAAUGAUGGAUUAAUUAGACUCAGAAGAUUCGUCUCGUGGUUUCCAGACGGAAUCUAAAAUUUGUUUUUUCAUUCGUGUCCGAAAACUCCUUCCGAUAUCCGGUCAAACGUUCGACGUGACCCUUUUGCCAAAAAUUUUUGGAAACUAAACAAGUCCUAAUUUAUUCCUGUCAAUCGACUUGGUCAAAUGAUUUUUGAAGUGCCCUAGAGCUAGUACAUCUUUGCAAGUGUCUAUACGGUUUUUUAAGUGUAGAAAGACAGGUAAUACGAAUUUAUUUUUGAAAGUGAGCUAAGAAUUUAGAUAAUUUAGAUAAAGAGAAAGGGGCUACGGAAGGGUAAGGAAUUGUUAGUAAGCAUUUAGAGAAAUCAUAGAUUAGAGAUUAGCCACGAGAGUUUGAUUGGGUUUGGGAGAGUAAUAUACCAAGAUCAUGGACAGUCCAGUGCACACGCUAUCCCAGUCUUUUAUAUAACUAGUAACUAGUAAGAAACUAGUACGCUGCAAUCGUUUUUUCAUUCAUGUGGUUGCCUUUUCGUUUUUUAUGAGCAUAAGCAAAAUGUUGUAUUAGCAGUUAAAAAUAAUUUAUAAUAAAAUUUAUAUAUAUAUAUAUAUAUAUAUGUUCUUAGUAACCUAAAAACAAUGACCGAAAAAUAAACUAAGAUUAAAAAACCUUAAAAUCGUCUCUAAAUUUUAGCUUAUUAGCAUAAUUGAGGUUAUCAAUCUUAGGGAAGGAUUUGGGUUAAUUGGACUAUGCUGUUAUCGUAUACUCUCUCGUUUCAUAACACUUAUCGUUUUAUAUAAAAACACAAUCUCUAAAAAAUAACUUUGCCCAUAAUUUUUCAAUGACAACAAAUAUAAAAAUGUAUAAUUUUAUUUAAAUACUUUUUAAUACUAUUUUAUGUAUAUAGUCCAUAUGCUUCUAAAGUAGAUAUAUUAAAAGUUAUUCUUAGUGAAAGUUUUAAAAGUUUAAUCUCAACCUAGUUGUCAGUUUUUAUAAGAAAUUAGUUUUUUAGGCUGAACAACUUUUAUGUGAUCGAAAAUGUUUACCCAUGAAAUUGGAGGAUAGAGAGAAAAAAAGAAACACACUCUUGAAUCAUAAGAUUAAGAAACAUAUUAUCUUUGUUUUCCAAUAUAAAAUUUUCUAUCACUAGAUUUAUAGAUUCAUAUAGAUACUAAUAAAUCUAAAUAAGUCUAGACAUAUAUACAAACAAUAUGUUUUAAUCAACAGAUAGAUCUAGAUACAGUUAAAAUGUCUUACAUUAUGAAAUAGAGGGAGUAGGAUUUUGAUAUAAUUGAAAUAGUAAAAAUAUAUGAUUAAAAUAAAAAACCAUAAUAAUGUUUGAUUGAAUGACUUCAUGAAAAGAUAUGAAUCUGAAGAGAGAGAAAAUCGAAGAAAAUUGUCUAUGAGCAUGGAUCUCAUGUUAAAAUUCCUCCCAAUAAGAAUUUCAUAGUAUUUAAUAGGAUUAAAUCAUUUGAUCCUUCGAAUCAACGACAGCGGUACAUCAUACCCUUCUAACAAACCACACAGAAACAACAAUCGUUUUAUCAACUCGAAACUUCUCAAAGAUGGAAAGAAAAGCAGAAGAGGAAGGAGAAGAUCUGCAUAGAAAAGGCAAUGGAGACGAAAAGGGGAAGACCAAAUGAAUCGAAUCAAGAUCUAUCCAUCGAUGCCAAAUCUCCUCAAGGAAAUCGAUCAAGCAAAAACCGGGAAGAGCAGCAAAUUCAUAGUCAGAGCAGUUUACCUUUGCAGAUCGAUCCGACCAGCGACUAUGCUCCCGUCCAGUUGUAGAUCGCAAAACUCCGAAGCGAAUCGUCGUCGAAUCUUUUCGAGAAUCGCAAAAGGCUUUAUAAAUAGCAAAGAUAUCUAGGCAACGAAUCUCUAAUCUUUUUCUGGAAGUGAAAUACCUAAAAUAACCCUGUGACACUUUCACACCGCGGUUAAAGAUUUAAUUAAUGGUGC